CGAAUAGCUAAGUGGUUAUAGCAGAUGACUAAAAAUCACCGUUCGCGGGUCCGAAUCCCGCUUCAA
This 66-nucleotide transfer RNA is filed under the name Peptostreptococcaceae bacterium pGA-8. Its description in RNAcentral is "tRNA_Pseudo_AAA". It matches the Rfam family "tRNA", at positions 5 to 66 of the family's 71-position model. From Rfam's summary of the family: Transfer RNA (tRNA) molecules are approximately 80 nucleotides in length. Their secondary structure includes four short double-helical elements and three loops (D, anti-codon, and T loops). Lineage: Bacteria; Bacillati; Bacillota; Clostridia; Peptostreptococcales; Peptostreptococcaceae. The record is from RNAcentral.